UACGGAAGGCAGCAGUGGGGAAUAUUGCACAAUGGGCGAAAGCCUGAUGCAGCUAUGCCGCGUGUAUGAAGAAGGCCUUAGGGUUGUAAAGUACUUUCAUCGGGGAGGAAAAAACAAAACUAAUAAUUUUAUUUCUUGACGUUACCCGAAAAAGAAGCACCGGCUAACUCCGUGUCAGCAGCCGCGGUAAUACGGAGGGUGCUAGCGUUAAUCAGAAUUACUGGGCGUAAAGAGCACGUAGGUGGUUUUUUUAAGUCAGAUGUGAAAUCCCUGGGCUUAACCUAGGAACUGCAUUUUGAAACUGAAAUACUAGAGUAUCGUAGAGGGAGGUAGAAUUCUAGGUGUAGCGGUGAAAUGCGUAGAUAUCUGGAGGAAUACCUGUGGCGAAAGCGGCCUCCUAAACGAAUACUGACACUGAGGUGCGAAAGCGUGGGGAGCAAACAGGGAUUAGAUACC
RNAcentral lists this ribosomal RNA (456 nucleotides) under uncultured bacterium. RNAcentral's name for it is "bacterial SSU rRNA". It matches the Rfam family "Bacterial small subunit ribosomal RNA", at positions 340 to 786 of the family's 1533-position model. The record is from RNAcentral.